This 478-nucleotide ribosomal RNA is filed under the name uncultured bacterium. RNAcentral's name for it is "partial 16S ribosomal RNA". It matches the Rfam family "Bacterial small subunit ribosomal RNA", at positions 28 to 507 of the family's 1533-position model. The record is from RNAcentral.
GAUGAACGCUGGCGGCGUGCUUAACACAUGCAAGUCGAACGGGAAAUAUCUCAUUGAGACUUCGGUGGAUUUGAUUUAUUUCUAGUGGCGGCCGGGUGAGUAACGCGUGGGUAACCUGCCUUAUACAGGGGGAUAACAGUCAGAAAUGGCUGCUAAUACCGCAUAAGCGCACAGAGCUGCAUGGCUCAGUGUGAAAAACUCCGGUGGCAUAGGAUGGACCCGCGUUGGAUUAGCUAGCUGGUGGGGUAACUGCCCACCAACGCGACGUAGCAUAGCCGGCAGGAGAGGGUGAACGACCACAUUGGGGCUGAGGCACAGCCCAGACUCGUAGGGGAGGGAGGAGUGGGGAAUAUUGCACAAUGGAGGAAAACGUGAUGCAGCGACGCCGCGUGAAGGAGGAAGUAUGUCGGUAUGUAAACUUCUAUCAGCAGGGAAGAUAGUGACGGUACCUGACUAAGAAGCACCGGCUAACUACGUG